GGUCUCGCCGCUCAGUGUCGUCUUGUUGGCUGUCGCGUUCGUGUGCGCGCACUGAGAAAAACGGAACGCCACAGUUGCACUUUGCGGUGCAAUUUCUAUAUUCCUCGAGUCCCCCGAUUUCUGAGUUGCCGUUGCCCCCAUGCGAAGUGCGUGCGCUUUGGCCAAAACAACUACCAAAACGCGUACCGCAGCUUACAAGAUACAACCAAUAAAAUAAGAGGCACAGAGAAUAAUAAUAGAGGAGAGAAACCCCUGCUGUGGAGGGCAUUUGCAUUUUGUUUACCUCGAUGGCUGUGUGGAGUGCAUAAUAUAACGAUUAUAUAAUAUAAAACAAAAGAAAUAGGGAAAACAAAUAAAAGUGCGCGGCAUUCGAUUUUAAUUGCAAGCAACUACAAUAACCACUGAAGAAGAAGAUAAUAUGUUGCCUUUAAAUCAAUUGGGAAACCAACAACCAAAGUUAACGCAACGUUUCUAAAACUUAAAGUCUAAAUACCAAAUAAUAAGUACACAAUAAAAUAAAAUUAAAACCAAACCAAAAGUGGCCUGCAAAACGAAGCAACUAAAAUAACCAAGAAAUGUGAUUCACAGUGUGCAAUGCAACCAAGUUAUUAGUAAAAAGCAAACCAAAAACCAAAGCAAAAAUCGUGGAAAAACAGCGGAACACCCGAAGCCAGGCCAAAUGGAAAUCAAGGAAUCCGGUAGCCAAUCGAAUAGCCAACUAGCAGCCAUCGUGGCCAAUGAUUAAGGGAGCACUCUGUUAGCCAACUCGUAGUAGCAGCAUUCCCCGUCCACACAUUACACCCAAAACACAGCCACUCAGCCACACAGAUCCACCCGACCUCCCCUCACAGCCCUCGAUGCCCGGAAAGAAGGCGUUGGAGCAACAAUUUUAGAAUAUACAGACAGUCAGACAACCACAUCAGCUCCGAACUCCAAGCUCCAGCUCCAGCUCCAGUUCCAAUUCAACCUCAAUCCCGACAUAAAUCGCCCAACAUGGACAUCAAGAUUGAGCAGCAGCAGCAACAACAGCAAGUGGAGCUGGGACCCUGUUCCCCGUCGGAGGUGCCCAAUGAUCCCGGAAAAAUGUUCAUUGGCGGCCUCAGUUGGCAGACAAGUCCAGAGAGCUUACGCGAUUACUUUGGACGUUAUGGUGAUAUCUCAGAGGCUAUGGUCAUGAAGGAUCCCACGACGCGCAGAUCCAGAGGCUUCGGCUUUGUCACAUUCAGCGAUCCAAAUAGCGUAGAUAAGGUACUCACCCAAGGCACACACGAGCUGGAUGGCAAAAAGGUCGAUCCAAAAGUAGCUUUUCCGCGUCGUGCACAUCCCAAGAUGGUGACGAGAACGAAGAAAAUCUUUGUGGGCGGCCUCUCGGCGCCCACCACACUGGAGGAUGUCAAAAGUUACUUCGAACAGUUUGGCCCGAUCGAGGAUGCCAUGUUGAUGUUUGAUAAGCAGACCAAUCGGCACAGAGGUUUUGGCUUCGUUACAUUUCAAAGCGAAGAUGUGGUAGACAAAGUUUGCGAAAUUCAUUUCCACGAGAUAAACAACAAAAUGGUCGAGUGCAAGAAGGCGCAGCCGAAGGAGGUGAUGCUGCCGGCCAAUCUGGCCAAGACGCGGGCUGCCGGGCGCUCCGCAUACGAUAACAUCAUGUGGGGACUGGGGACAUUGCCCGAAGGUUUUCCGGCAGCUGCCUAUGCUGCCUAUGCCGCUGGUCGUGGAUAUUCGGGCUAUCCCAGUUUCGGACUGCCCUAUCCAACUGUUGAUCUAACCAAUGGGCAGCUGACCCCCAACAACAAUACACCGCUGCUGACCCAGGCGCUGUCAGUGAUGAACAACUAUCAGGCGGCUGCUGCGGCCGCCCACAGCUAUGGUCCGUCGGCAUCGCCGCACGCCGCCGCCGCCAACACGGCCACCCGGCAGGGAUUCCCCUCGACCAACUCGCCCGGCCCUACCAUCGACAUGUACAGCUCGGCAGCCGCCGACAAUGUGGGCUACGUGCAGGCCACCAGUCCGCAGCCGUCCGGCUUCCCCAUCGCCGUCAGCCGCGCCCCGUUGAACUACAGCCCGAUUUAUUCGUUGAACUUUGCGAUGGCUAAUAUAUAAAAGACUGAUAACCCAAAAAUAUAAAUGCAAGAGAACAAAAAACAAAACAAAAGAUAAGCAAAAAGUAAAAGAAACCCAUUAUAUAUAUUUAAAUCGAAAAAAUAUAUGAAAAAAAUACAAAUAAAAUAAUGCUAAACGAAAGCAAACAAAAGAAAUAAGAGUAUAAAACAAACGCAGUUGCACAAGGGACCACUAAUUCCUGCGGCAUUUACAAAUGGAUACCAUUAAAAGGUGGCGCCGACAACCGCAAUGACAACAACAACAGCAACAACGGCAGAAGCAGCAACUACAGCAGCAAUAUAACACAACAGCAACAGGAGCAACAAAUGCAACAGCAACUUUAGCAACAAAUGACAGACACACUUUCACACACACUCACAUACACACACACGAUCUGCAGUGCUGCAACCACAGAGCGCAAAAGAAAAUAAUUUAAAAUUAUAUAUACCUGCAUAUAUAUAAAUAUAAAUCAAAUAAAGUACAUAUUACAUAUUUGUGUAAUUCCACAUGGCAAAAUGAAAUCCGUUAAGCAAGAAAAAUCGAGACAACUGCAAGAGCAACAAACAAUAAACCAAACACACAUAUUAUAAUUAAUUAAUUAACGUAUAUUACAAAUACGUACAUAUAAACGCAUGGCAAAAAAAAAAACAACAUGAAAAAAUGUAAAAAAAAACGUUGAGGACGAACUACGAGCGAACACAAACAAAAAAAAAUAAUUUUAAUUUAACAACCACUACAACAACAUCGGCAAGAACAACGCUCGGACCGAAAGAUGCAACGUGUGCAGCAAAAAUCGUUUAAAAUGCAAAUUAAACGGAAACUGUGCGUCCAACUGGAGUGGAGUGCCAUCGCGGUGGGCGGCGCCGGCGGAGGAUGGGCGUGGCAGUGCUCACACAGCAAAAAAUCGGAGGCCUCCACCCAAAACGCCCACCGCCCACGGAUGACAACCAGGCCAAAAAGGGCGUAACCACUUUUAAGUAAUGAGAAACCAACAAAUAAAAGCAAAAAAAAACGAGGGGUUACUAAUAAAACGAUAGAGUUGAAAAAAGAUAAAGCAAAAAUGUUGCAAUAAUAGCGAAAAUGUUAUUAUUUAAUUGCGUAUUAUUAAAGGCAAAUUAUUAUUACCAUUAUUAUUGCUAUUCUUAACGUAUCUAAGUUGUAACUUUUAAAGUUAAAGUCGAUCUAUAUAUAUAUAUAUAUAUAUAUAUAUAUAUAUAUUUCUAAAUAUAUAUAUAUAUAUACAAGAAUAUACUCUCUUAUACACAUAAAGUAAACUGCAAUAUAUACAAAGGGAAUUACUUGAAUCAAAAAGCGAAAUCCAACAACAAGUUAUUGUACUCUCAAUGAUAAUCGAUUUAAGAGUUUGAAAAUGUUAAGAAUCGGUUGGGCUAAGUGUUCAUUUCUCGACUGGGUUGGGGGUGAAUCAAAUCAAAAUUGUGCUUACAAUUAUAAUUAUGAAUUUAUUUUAAAGUACAACAAAUCCUUUAUUGGCCAAAAUAAACAGCAAUGAAACAAAAUCGAAUGUGAGAAAAAGUCGAAGGCAAUUUGUUAUUAACUAUGUUGAAGUUCUCUUUCUCAUUAUUUCAAUCGAAUCAGGGGAAAGAAGAGGAAAAACCUAUAACUUUUGUGUUCACAUUGAAAGCAAAAUGGUAAAUAAUGCUAAUUAAAAAGUGGAUAGUUAGACAAAUAUGUUAAAGCAUUAAAAAUGACAAUGAAAGCGAAGUGAGAGAGUGAAUUUUCGUAGCUCGAGGCAUAAAUAAAUUUAUUUGCUAAAAACAAUGGAGAAUCCAAAACAAUGAAAACUGCAAAAAGCAACUCCUUAAAUAUGUAAGAAACACACAAUUUUUGAGAUACAUUCAUCCACACACACACACACAGACAGAAUACAGAUCUAACGGAUAAAUCAUAAUGAAACACUUAAACAAAUUACUUGAUAAGAGCAUAUGCAAAUAUAACAAUGAACUAUUAUACAUACAACAUAUAGUAAGAUUAAGUAAAUAAAAUAUUUAUAAAACAAACGCGCAAAAUCGCAAAUGUUUGAACACUUAACUAAAUAUAUCUGUAAACAAGCGUGUAAAAAGGAUCACAGAUGAGCCAUAAAAAUGGAUGUGGAAAAUUUGAAAUGAAAUGAAAAUGAAAAUCAUGAUGACGAUGACGAUGACGAUGAAAUGCAGGCCACGCAAUGUGCAAUUAAUUUUUUUCUAGUCGCUCCGUCCGGCAAAUCGACCGGACGAUGGAUGUACUAGACGUAUUUGAGGAUUAUGACGAUAACGACGACGAUGCAAUCGGGGGCGUAAUAGAAAAAUAUAUUUAUAUACAACUAUAUGGAGUAUUAAAUUAUUGGAAAAGCAAACCAAACAAAACCUAUCAGCUAGAUAAGUAAAGAACAUUUGUUACACACAGCAAGUGGGGGAAAAUUGCAAACAACAAAAAAACCAA
RNA transcript from Drosophila gunungcola (fruit fly), 4542 nucleotides. It is a transcript of the gene named RNA-binding protein Musashi homolog Rbp6, with no coding region annotated. The record is from RefSeq and is a predicted model, not a curated record. The transcript is spliced from 16 exons. NCBI's taxonomy places the organism in Eukaryota, Metazoa, Arthropoda, Insecta, Diptera, Drosophilidae.